CCCCUUGUCAUCUGGGGAGUAGCCAGCCGUUCGCAGAAGCGAGCGGGCCGUAUGUCAACAUAUUUGGCCGAGAGGCCGUGGCAUGCGGGAUGCGGGGUGGACGGGCGAAGGCUCGGGCCGGCCGUAUC
This 128-nucleotide small RNA is filed under the name Sphingobium sp. EP60837. Its description in RNAcentral is "Manganese Mn2+ riboswitch aptamer (yybP-ykoY)". It matches the Rfam family "Manganese Mn2+ riboswitch aptamer (yybP-ykoY)". From Rfam's summary of the family: This RNA was originally discovered in E. coli during a large scale screen and was named SraF. The family was later found to exist upstream of related families of protein genes in many bacteria, including the the yybP and ykoK genes in B. subtilis. RNAcentral also lists the same sequence under 1 other name. The record is from Rfam by way of RNAcentral. Lineage: Bacteria; Pseudomonadati; Pseudomonadota; Alphaproteobacteria; Sphingomonadales; Sphingobiaceae.